UGGGGGAUAUUGCACAAUGGGCGAAAGCCUGAUGCAGCGACGCCGCGUGGGGGAUGAAGGCCUUCGGGUUGUAAACUUCUUUUGCUCUGAACAAGGCAUGCUAAUGGGUGUGUUGAGUGUAGGGGUUGAUUAGCGCCGGCUAACUACGUGCCAGCAGCCGCGGUAAUACGUAGGGCGCGAGCGUUGUCCGGAAUUAUUGGGCGUAAAGGGCUUGUAGGUGGCUGGUUGCGUCUGUCGUGAAAGCUCAUGGCUUAACUGUGGGUUUGCGGUGGGUACGGGCUGGCUUGAGCGCAGUAGGGGAGGCUGGAAUUCCUGGUGUAGCGGUGGAAUGCGUAGAUAUCAGGAGGAAUACCGGUGGCGAAGGCGGGUCUCUGGGCUGUUACUGACACUGAGGAGCGAAAGCAUGGGGAGCGAACAGG
RNAcentral lists this ribosomal RNA (419 nucleotides) under bacterium. RNAcentral's name for it is "partial 16S ribosomal RNA". It matches the Rfam family "Bacterial small subunit ribosomal RNA", at positions 355 to 776 of the family's 1533-position model. The record is from RNAcentral.